Molecule: ribosomal RNA, 305 nt
Filed under: uncultured bacterium
Lineage: Bacteria
Description: bacterial SSU rRNA
Rfam family: Bacterial small subunit ribosomal RNA
Source: RNAcentral
UCCUACGGGGCGCAGCAGUGGGGAAUAUUGCACAAUGGGGGAAACCCUGAUGCAGCAACGCCGCGUGAGUGAAGAAGGUUUUCGGAUUGUAAAGCUCUGUUAGCAGGGAAGAGGAAGGACGGUACCUGCAGAGGAAGCCACGGCUAACUACGUGCCAGCAGCCGCGGUAAUACGGAGGAUGCGAGCGUUAUCCGGAUUUAUUGGGUUUAAAGGGUGCGUAGGCGGACUGUUAAGUCAGCGGUAAAAGCCCGGGGCUCAACCCCGGCGAGCCGUUGAAACUGGCUGUCUUGAGAUGUCGAGAGGUA